GAGGGUAUAGCUCGGCGGUAGAGCGCAUGCUUAGUGUGCACAAGGCCCUGGGUUCAAUUCCCAGUACCUCCA
Molecule: transfer RNA, 72 nt
Filed under: Camelus bactrianus (Bactrian camel)
Lineage: Eukaryota; Metazoa; Chordata; Mammalia; Artiodactyla; Camelidae
Also listed under: 2 other names
Rfam family: tRNA
About the family: Transfer RNA (tRNA) molecules are approximately 80 nucleotides in length. Their secondary structure includes four short double-helical elements and three loops (D, anti-codon, and T loops).
Source: Rfam by way of RNAcentral